GAUGAACGCUGGCGGCGUGCCUAAUACAUGCAAGUCGAGCGAACAGACGAGGAGCUUGCUCCUCUGACGUUAGCGGCGGACGGGUGAGUAACACGUGGAUAACCUACCUAUAAGACUGGGAUAACUUCGGGAAACCGGAGCUAAUACCGGAUAAUAUAUUGAACCGCAUGGUUCUAUAGUGAAAGACGGUUUUGCUGUCACUUAUAGAUGGAUCCGCGUCGCAUUAGCUAGUUGGUAAGGUAACGGCUUACCAAGGCAACGAUGCGUAGCUGACCUGAGAGGAUGAUCAGCCACACUGGAACUGAGACACGGUCCAGACUCCUACGGGAGGCAGCAGUAGGGAAUCUUCCGCAAUGGGCGAAAGCCUGACGGAGCAACGCCGCGUGAGUGAUGAAGGUCUUCGGAUCGUAAAGCUCUGUUAGUAGGGAAGAACAAAUGUGUAAGUAACUAUGCACGUCUUGACGGUACCUAAACAGAAAGCCACGGCUAACUACGUG
RNAcentral lists this ribosomal RNA (497 nucleotides) under uncultured bacterium. RNAcentral's name for it is "partial 16S ribosomal RNA". It matches the Rfam family "Bacterial small subunit ribosomal RNA", at positions 28 to 507 of the family's 1533-position model. The record is from RNAcentral.